CCUACGGGAGGCAGCAGUAAGGAAUAUUGGUCAAUGGACGGAAGUCUGAACCAGCCAUCCCGCGUGCAGGAUGAAAGUCCUAUGGAUUGUAAACUGCUUUUAGCAGAGGCGAAGACCUGACAUUUAUGUUGGAGUGACGGUAUCUGCAGAAUAAGCACCGGCUAACUCCGUGCCAGCAGCCGCGGUAAU
RNAcentral lists this ribosomal RNA (189 nucleotides) under uncultured bacterium. RNAcentral describes it as "partial 16S ribosomal RNA". It matches the Rfam family "Bacterial small subunit ribosomal RNA", at positions 338 to 524 of the family's 1533-position model. The record is from RNAcentral.